UUAAAGUGUCCGUAGCCGGUUUAGUAAGUUCCUGGUAAAACCGGGCAGCUUAACUGUCCGUAUGCUAGGAAUACUGCUAUGCUAGAGAGCGGGAGAGGUCUGAGGUACUACAGGGGUAGGGGUGAAAUCUUAUAAUCCUUGUAGGACCACCAGUGGCGAAAGCGUCAGACUGGAACGCGCCUGACGGUGAGGGACGAAAGCCAGGGGAGCGAACCGGAUUAGAUACCCGGGUAGUCCUGGCCGUAAACGAUGCAUACUAGGCAAUGGUGCGGCCAUGAGCCGCAUCAGUACCGUAGGGAAACCGUUAAGUGUGCCGCCUGGGAAGUACGGUCGCAAGGCUAAAACUUAAAGGAAUUGGCGGGGGAGCACCACAAGGGGUGAAGCUGCGGUUCAAUUGGACUCAACGCCGGGAAACUUACCAGGGGAGACAGCAGAAUGACAGUCAGGUUGACGACCUUACUCGACGAGCUGAGAGGAGGUGCAUGGCCGUCGCCAGUUCGUGCUGUGAGGUAUCCUGUUAAGUCAGGCAACGAACGAGAUCCGCGCCUUUAUUUGCCAUCAAGAAGUCACGACUUCGUUGGAACACUAAAGGGACCGCCGUCGAUAAGACGGAGGAAGGAGCGGACAAAGGCAGGUCUGU
This 640-nucleotide ribosomal RNA is filed under the name uncultured crenarchaeote. Its description in RNAcentral is "bacterial SSU rRNA". It matches the Rfam family "Archaeal small subunit ribosomal RNA", at positions 510 to 1150 of the family's 1478-position model. Lineage: Archaea; Thermoproteati; Thermoproteota. The record is from RNAcentral.